GCAUUUGUGGCCGAGUGGUUGAAGGCACUGGACUCAUAAUCCAUUUUCGUAAGAACAACACUGGUUCAAAUCCAGUCAGAUGCU
RNAcentral lists this transfer RNA (84 nucleotides) under Synura sphagnicola. RNAcentral describes it as "tRNA-Met". It matches the Rfam family "tRNA". From Rfam's summary of the family: Transfer RNA (tRNA) molecules are approximately 80 nucleotides in length. Their secondary structure includes four short double-helical elements and three loops (D, anti-codon, and T loops). The record is from RNAcentral. Lineage: Eukaryota; Synurophyceae; Synurales; Mallomonadaceae.